Non-coding RNA from Triticum aestivum (bread wheat), 154 nucleotides. NCBI's taxonomy places the organism in Eukaryota, Viridiplantae, Streptophyta, Magnoliopsida, Poales, Poaceae. The record is from Rfam.
CUAUCUGCUUUUCUUCACUGUAUUUGUGCUUGUAUGUAAACUAAUCCAUAUGGUUCUUGGACAAUGAGAAAAUGUUGAGCAGAAAGCAAACGUUCCUCUCGCUAUCCAGUGUGGAAUUUCUUGUGAUGUGAUUGAACGUUGAGGAAUUAUAUUG